Molecule: ribosomal RNA, 261 nt
Filed under: uncultured Syntrophaceae bacterium
Lineage: Bacteria; Pseudomonadati; Thermodesulfobacteriota; Syntrophia; Syntrophales; Syntrophaceae
Description: partial 16S ribosomal RNA
Rfam family: Bacterial small subunit ribosomal RNA
Source: RNAcentral
CCAUCAUUUAGUUGGGCACUUUAAGAGACUGCCGGUGUUAAGCCGGAGGAAGGUGGGGAUGACGUCAAGUCCUCAUGGCCUUAUGCCCAGGGCUACACACGUGCUACAAUGGGCGGUACAAAGAGAAGCAACCUCGCGAGGGUGAGCAAAUCUCAAAAAGCCGUUCUCAGUUCGGAUUGAAGUCUGCAACUCGACUUCAUGAAGUCGGAAUCGCUAGUAAUCGCGGAUCAGCAUGCCGCGGUGAAUACGUUCCCGGGCCUU